GCUGCCGGCAGGCCUAACACAUGCAAGUCGAGCGGAAACGAUCCUAGCUUGCUAGGAGGCGUCGAGCGGCGGACGGGUGAGUAAUGCAUAGGAAUCUGCCCGGUAGUGGGGGAUAACUUGAGGAAACUCAAGCUAAUACCGCAUACGCCCUACGGGGGAAAGCAGGGGCUCUUCGGACCUUGCGCUAUCGGAUGAGCUUAUGUCGGAUUAGCUGGUUGGUGAGGUAACGGCUCACCAAGGCGACGAUCCGUAGCUGGUCUGAGAGGAUGAUCAGCCACAUCGGGACUGAGACACGGCCCGAACUCCUACGGGAGGCAGCAGUGGGGAAUAUUGGACAAUGGGGGCAACCCUGAUCCAGCCAUGCCGCGUGUGUGAAGAAGGCCCUCGGGUUGUAAAGCACUUUCAGCGAGGAAGAAUGCUUGUCGGUUAAUACCCGGCAAGGGAGACAUCACUCGCAGAAGAAGCACCGGCUAACUCCGUGCCAGCAGCCGCGGUAAUACGGAGGGUGCGAGCGUUAAUCGGAAUUACUGGGCGUAAAGCGUGCGUAGGCGGCUUGAUAAGCCGGUUGUGAAAGCCCCGGGCUCAACCUGGGAACGGCAUCCGGAACUGUUAGGCUAGAGUGCAGGAGAGGAAGGUAGAAUUCCCGGUGUAGCGGUGAAAUGCGUAGAGAUCGGGAGGAAUACCAGUGGCGAANGCGGCCUUCUGGACUGACACUGACGCUGAGGUACNAAAGCGUGGGUAGCAAACANGAUUAGAUACCCUGGUAGUCCACGCCGUAAACNAUGUCGACU
This 791-nucleotide ribosomal RNA is filed under the name Halomonas sp. E34.3. Its description in RNAcentral is "bacterial SSU rRNA". It matches the Rfam family "Bacterial small subunit ribosomal RNA", at positions 35 to 817 of the family's 1533-position model. The record is from RNAcentral. Lineage: Bacteria; Pseudomonadati; Pseudomonadota; Gammaproteobacteria; Oceanospirillales; Halomonadaceae.